CCUACGGGAGGCAGCAGUGGGGAAUAUUGCGCAAUGGGCGAAAGCCUGACGCAGCGACGCCGCGUGAGGGAUGAAGGUCUUCGGAUCGUAAACCUCUGUCAGCAGGGAAGAACGGUCACUGUGCUAAUCAGCAGUGAAUUGACCGUAACUGCAAAGGAAGCACCGGCCAAGUCCGUGCCAGCGGCCGCGGUAAUACGGAGGGUGCGAGCGUUAAUCGGUAUUUCUGGGCGGAAAGCGCACGUAGGCGGUAUGUCAAGUCAAGGGGGAAAUCCCCGGGCUCAACGUGGGAACUGCCUUUGAAACUGGCAAACUGGAGUGGGUGAGAGGAUAGUGGAAUUCCAGGUGUAGGAGUGAAAUGCGUAGAUAUCUGGAGGAAAAUCAGUGGCGAAGGCGACUAUCUGGCACAUAACUGACGCUGAGGAGCGAAAGCGUGGGUAGCAAACAGGAUUAGAUACCCCAGUAGUC
RNAcentral lists this ribosomal RNA (465 nucleotides) under uncultured bacterium. RNAcentral's name for it is "partial 16S ribosomal RNA". It matches the Rfam family "Bacterial small subunit ribosomal RNA", at positions 338 to 795 of the family's 1533-position model. The record is from RNAcentral.